RNAcentral lists this ribosomal RNA (492 nucleotides) under uncultured bacterium. Its description in RNAcentral is "partial 16S ribosomal RNA". It matches the Rfam family "Bacterial small subunit ribosomal RNA", at positions 29 to 507 of the family's 1533-position model. The record is from RNAcentral.
AGUGAACGCUGGCGGUAGGCCUAACACAUGCAAGUCGAACGGCAGCACAGUAAGAGCUUGCUCUUACGGGUGGCGAGUGGCGGACGGGUGAGGAAUACAUCGGAAUCUACUUUUUCGUGGGGGAUAACGUAGGGAAACUUACGCUAAUACCGCAUACGACCUACGGGUGAAAGCAGGGGAUCUUCGGACCUUGCGCGAUUGAAUGAGCCGAUGUCGGAUUAGCUAGUUGGCGGGGUAAAGGCCCACCAAGGCGACGAUCCGUAGCUGGUCUGAGAGGAUGAUCAGCCACACUGGAACUGAGACACGGUCCAGACUCCUACGGGAGGCAGCAGUGGGGAAUAUUAGACAAUGGGCGCAAGCCUGAUCCAGCCAUGCCGCGUGGAUGAAGAAGGCUUUCGGGUUGUAAAGCCCUUUUGUUGGGAAGGAAAAGCAGCAGGUUAAUACCCCGCUGUUCUGACGGUACCCGAAGAAUAAGCACCGGCUAACUUCGUG